AGUGAACGCUGGCGGUAGGCCUAACACAUGCAAGUCGAACGGCAGCACAGUAAGAGCUUGCUCUUACGGGUGGCGAGUGGCGGACGGGUGAGGAAUACAUCGGAAUCUACUUUUUCGUGGGGGAUAACGUAGGGAAACUUACGCUAAUACCGCAUACGACCUACGGGUGAAAGCAGGGGAUCUUCGGACCUUGCGCGAUUGAAUGAGCCGAUGUCGGAUUAGCUAGUUGGCGGGGGAAAGGCCCACCAAGGCGACGAUCCGUAGCUGGUCUGAGAGGAUGAUUAGCCACACUGGAAGUGAGACACGGUCCAAGCUCCUACGGGCGGGACCCGUGCGCAUUAUUGGACCAGGGGCGCGAACCUUUUGCCGCCAUACCACGUGGCUGAAGCAGCAAUUCGGGUUGCACAGUCAUUUUGUUGGGAAAGAAAAGUACCUGGUUAAUACACGGAUGUUAUGACGGUACCAAAAGAAUAAGCAACGGCUAACUUCGUG
Molecule: ribosomal RNA, 492 nt
Filed under: uncultured bacterium
Lineage: Bacteria
Description: partial 16S ribosomal RNA
Rfam family: Bacterial small subunit ribosomal RNA
Source: RNAcentral